Molecule: ribosomal RNA, 253 nt
Filed under: uncultured bacterium
Lineage: Bacteria
Description: partial 16S ribosomal RNA
Rfam family: Bacterial small subunit ribosomal RNA
Source: RNAcentral
UACAGAGACUGCAAGCGUUAUUCGGAUUCACUGGGCGUAAAGGGUGCGCAGGCGGUUUGGUGGGUCAGAUGUGAAAUCCCGAGGCUCAACCUCGGAACUGCGUCUGAAACUACUCGACUAGAGUACUGGAGAGGGUAACGGAAUCCACGGUGUAGCAGUGAAAUGCGUAGAUAUCGUGAGGAACACCAGAGGCGAAGGCGGUUACCUGGACAGUUACUGACGCUCAGGCACGAAAGCAUGGGGAGCAAAAGGG